GGCAGUUCUCGGGUGACAAACCCUAAAAUCAGGCUCCCUUUUCUCUGGUUCCAGGUGCAUCACCCAAGAACCACA
MicroRNA precursor from Myotis lucifugus (little brown bat), 75 nucleotides. It matches the Rfam family "mir-9223 microRNA precursor family". Lineage: Eukaryota; Metazoa; Chordata; Mammalia; Chiroptera; Vespertilionidae. The record is from Rfam.